Molecule: non-coding RNA, 110 nt
Organism: Acanthosepion pharaonis
Lineage: Eukaryota; Metazoa; Mollusca; Cephalopoda; Sepiida; Sepiidae
Source: the annotation of a GenBank genome assembly
AUGGCUACAUCAUGUUGAAACACCGGUUCCCAUACAAUCACCAAAGUUAAGCAACAUCAAGCCUGGUAAGUACCUAGAUGGGUGACCACUUGGGAUUACCAGAUGCUGUA